This 181-nucleotide non-coding RNA is filed under the name Mycobacterium kyorinense. Lineage: Bacteria; Bacillati; Actinomycetota; Actinomycetes; Mycobacteriales; Mycobacteriaceae. The record is from RNAcentral.
UGAAGCCGCCGUAUAUAUUGUCGCCGUUAAGGCGAUGACGAUGCAGGAAGCCGGUGUGAGUCCGGCGCGGUCCCGCCACUGUCAUCGGGGAGCGACCCUCAUCGGCCACGGCCAGCCGGCUGGAAGGCGAGGCGAGCAGCGAUCCGAAAGCCAGGACACUGCCGUCAUCGCGUCCUGCGAA